GCACAACGCGAAGAACCUUACCAGGGCUUAAAUGUAGUUUGACGUAUUUGGAAACAGAUAUUUCUUCGGACAAAUUACAAGGUGCUGCAUGGUUGUCGUCAGCUCGUGUCGUGAGAUGUUGGGUUAAGUCCCGCAACGAGCGCAACCCUUGCCCUUAGUUGCCAGCAUUAAGGUGGGAACUCUAAGGGGACCGCCGGUGACAAACCGGAGGAAGGUGGGGAUGACGUCAAGUCAUCAUGGCCCUUAUGACCAGGGCUACACACGUGCUACAAUGGCCAGUACAAAGGGUUGCCAACCCGCGAGGGGGAGCCAAUCCCACUAAAGACUGGUCGUAGUCCGGAUCGCAGUCUGCAACUCGACUGCGUGAAGUCGGAAUCGCUAGUAAUCGUGGAUCAGAAUGUCACGGUGAAUACGUU
Molecule: ribosomal RNA, 416 nt
Filed under: uncultured bacterium
Lineage: Bacteria
Description: bacterial SSU rRNA
Rfam family: Bacterial small subunit ribosomal RNA
Source: RNAcentral